Obba rivulosa is the source of this 105-nucleotide non-coding RNA. The record is from the annotation of a GenBank genome assembly. Lineage: Eukaryota; Fungi; Basidiomycota; Agaricomycetes; Polyporales; Gelatoporiaceae.
GGCGCUAUGGCCGAGCGGUUAAGGCGACAGAUUAGAACGAUCUGGAAAGGCAGUAUAACUAUCUGUUUCCCUAUGGGAGCGUGAGUUCAAAUCUCACUGGCGUCG